AACGAACGCUGGCGGCGUGCUUAACACAUGCAAGUCGAGCGGUAAGGCCCUUUCGGGGGUACACGAGCGGCGAACGGGUGAGUAACACGUGGGUGUCCUGCCCUCAGCUCUGGGAUAAGCCUGGGAAACCGGGUCUAAUACUGGAUAUGACUCCAUGACGCAUGUUGUGGGGUGGAAAGCCUUGUGCGGCUGAGGAUGGGCCCGCGGCCUAUCAGCUUGUUGGUGGGGUGAUGGCCUACCAAGGCGACGACGGGUAGCCGGCCUGAGAGGGCGACCGGCCACACUGGGACUGAGACACGGCCCAGACUCCUACGGGAGGCAGCAGUGGGGAAUCUUGCGCAAUGGGCGAAAGCCUGACGCAGCGACGCCGCGUGAGGGAUGACGGCCU
RNAcentral lists this ribosomal RNA (388 nucleotides) under uncultured bacterium. Its description in RNAcentral is "bacterial SSU rRNA". It matches the Rfam family "Bacterial small subunit ribosomal RNA", at positions 28 to 417 of the family's 1533-position model. The record is from RNAcentral.